This 482-nucleotide ribosomal RNA is filed under the name uncultured bacterium. RNAcentral describes it as "partial 16S ribosomal RNA". It matches the Rfam family "Bacterial small subunit ribosomal RNA", at positions 30 to 507 of the family's 1533-position model. The record is from RNAcentral.
AUUGAACGCUGGCGGCAUGCCUUACACAUGCAAGUCGAACGGUAACGGGCCUUCGGGUGCCGACGAGUGGCGAACGGGUGCGUAAUACAUCGGAACGUGCCCGAUCGUGGGGGAUAACGAGGCGAAAGCUUUGCUAAUACCGCAUACGAUCUACGGAUGAAAGCGGGGGACCGCAAGGCCUUGCGCGGACGGAGCGGCCGAUGGCAGAUUAGGUAGUUGGUGGGAUAAAAGCUUACCAAGCCGACGAUCUGUAGCUGGUCUGAGAGGAUGAUCAGCCACACUGGGACUGAGACACGGCCCAGACUCCUACGGGAGGCAGCAGUGGGGAAUUUUGGACAAUGGGCGCAAGCCUGAUCCAGCCAUGCCGCGUGCAGGAUGAGGGCCUUCGGGUUGUAAACUGCUUUUGUACGGAACGAAAAGCCUUCUUUUAAUACAGGAGGGUCAUGACGGUACCGUAAGAAUAAGCACCGGCUAACUACGUG